Non-coding RNA from Thermoactinomyces sp. Gus2-1, 1945 nucleotides. The record is from Rfam. Lineage: Bacteria; Bacillati; Bacillota; Bacilli; Caryophanales; Thermoactinomycetaceae.
GGGUAAGCUACUAAGGGCACACGGUGGAUGCCUUGGCGCCAGGAGCCGAUGAAGGACGGGACGAACACCGAUAUGCCCCGGGGAGCUGUAAGUGAGCGUUGAUCCGGGGAUGUCCGAAUGGGGGAACCCGCCAGCUUGAAGAGCUGGCACCGCCAUCUGAAUCCAUAGGAUGGACGGGGGCACACCAGGGGAACUGAAACAUCUUAGUACCCUGAGGAAGAGAAAGCAAACGCGAUUCCCUGAGUAGCGGCGAGCGAAACGGGAACAGCCCAAACCGGCUGGCUUUGCCAACCGGGGUUGUAGGACGUCUCACACGGAGUUACAAAGGUGACGGAUAGAUGAAGUGGUUCUGGAAAGACCCGCCAAAGAAGGUAACAGCCCUGUAAUCGAAAUCGGUCACCCUCCGAGACGGAUCCUGAGUACCGCGGGACACGUGAAACCCCGUGGGAAGCAGGGAGGACCACCUCCCAAGGCUAAAUACUCCCUGGCGACCGAUAGUGAACCAGUACCGUGAGGGAAAGGUGAAAAGCACCCCGGGAGGGGAGUGAAAGAGAACCUGAAACCGUGUGCUUACAAUCAGUCGGAGUCCUUUUAAAGGGAUGACGGCGUGCCUUUUGUAGAAUGAACCGGCGAGUGACGGUUACGUGCGAGGUUAAGGUGAGAAGCCGGAGCCGCAGCGAAAGCGAGUCUGAAUAGGGCGAAUGAGUACGUGGCCGUCGACCCGAAACCGGGUGAUCUACCCAUGUCCAGGGUGAAGUUCCGGUAACACGGAAUGGAGGCCCGAACCUGUUGGUGUUGAAAAACCAUAGGAUGAGGUGUGGGUAGGGGUGAAAUGCCAAUCGAACCCGGAGAUAGCUGGUUCUCCCCGAAAUAGCUUUAGGGCUAGCCUCGGAGAGGAGUCGUGGAGGUAGAGCACUGAUUGGGCUAGGGGCCCCCACAGGGUUACCGAACUCAGUUAAACUCCGAAUGCCACAGACUUGUCCUCCGGGAGUCAGACUACGAGUGCUAAGAUCCGUGGUCGAGAGGGAAACAGCCCAGACCGCCAGCUAAGGUCCCAAAGUAACCGUUAAGUGGCAAAGGAUGUGGAGUUGCCCAGACAACCAGGAUGUUGGCUUAGAAGCAGCCAUCAUUCAAAGAGUGCGUAAUAGCUCACUGGUCAAGUGACUCUGCGCCGAAAAUGUAACGGGGCUAAACGGUUCACCGAAGCUGCGGAUGUCCUUCGGACAUGGUAGGGGAGCGUUCCAAACAGCAGCGAAGCUGCUUCGUGAGAAGCGGUGGAGCGUUUGGAAGUGAGAAUGCCGGUAUGAGUAGCGAAAAGAAGGGUGAGAAUCCCUUCCACCGAAAGCCUAAGGUUUCCUGAGGAAGGUUCGUCCGCUCAGGGUUAGUCGGGACCUAAGCCGAGGCCGAAAGGCGUAGGCGAUGGACAACAGGUUGAGAUUCCUGUACCACCUUGUUCCGUUGACGACGGGGGGACGCAGGAGGGUAGAGAAUCGCGCGACUGGUUGUGCGCGUCCAAGCAGUGAGGCUGAAGAGACAGGCAAAUCCGUCUCUUCUUAAGGCCAGGCUGUGAUGGCGAGGGAAGUUUCAGUACCGAAGUUCUUGAUCUCACACUGCCAAGAAAAGCCUCUAAGGAGGAACAAGGUGCCCGUACCGCAAACCGACACAGGUAGGCGAGGAGAGAAUCCUAAGGUGCUCGGGAGAACUCUCGUUAAGGAACUCGGCAAAAUGACCCCGUAACUUCGGGAGAAGGGGUGCCCCGUUAGGGUCUUCGGGCCCGAGGGGGCCGCAGUGAAGAGGCCCAGGCGACUGUUUAGCAAAAACACAGGUCUCUGCAAAGCCGCAAGGCGAAGUAUAGGGGCUGACGCCUGCCCGGUGCUGGAAGGUUAAGGGGAAGAGUUAGCUCACGCGAAGCUCUUCCCCUUAACCUUCCAGCACCGGGCAGGCG